Long non-coding RNA from Papio anubis (olive baboon), 2513 nucleotides. The record is from Ensembl. NCBI's taxonomy places the organism in Eukaryota, Metazoa, Chordata, Mammalia, Primates, Cercopithecidae.
GUUAGAACUGAUGGUGGCUUUGAUGAGGCUAGGCUUCUACUUCGAAUUCACAGAUCUUACAAAGUGACAGGUUGUCCAAAUAACAUGCAGCAAAAUCAAUGAAUGAAAAAAGCAAGGAGCAUAUGUGAUUAUUGGGCAUACUAGUGCUUUACUAAAUGAACUUCAUGACUUCCCUUUGAAGUACACUUUUGGAUUUUCCAUUUGGAAGGUUAUUUACAAAUAAUUAUCAAACAUGCUUUUACAGGAAGGUAAGAGAAGGUAAUUUCAUUUAAAACAGACAAAUUAAAACGACUUGUACUACUUUGUGGGUAGUGAGUUGUAUUUUUCACCUGAAAUGACUGAAAAAAAUAUUUUUACAGGAAACUUAUUUAAUUGAAGCUAUUGUUAGGCACUGCAAAUAUGUUUGGCUCAUGCGACAGUUCCUAGGAAUUUAUACACGGGUUCAGAGUGUUGUUCAGGCACCAGAAAAUAAACCUCCAAGCUAUUUACUGCCUCCAUGAUAUAUAAAGUUUGCAGCUUUGAUUUUGUGUGAUUAUGUUCAGCAAUGGUGACCUUUAGAGGCAACAAUAUUGAAGUGUAAUGAGGAGAUGUUUGAUCACUGGUAUACAAUGAAGAGUUGGUGCUACUUCCCCAUUUUUUCCUGGAAUUUGUGAAAUUCAACUGACAGGCUUUAACCUUUAGACUGCUGAAGUUAUAAAAUGUAUAGGGAUUUAGGCUGUUUAUACAACACGUUAGAUAUAUGAAAUUUUUAGACAGUGUAGCUUCCUUUAUCAUCUGGUAAAAUGAUUUUGUAUAUUUAAUCAUAUCAGUCACUGGUAACCAUGACAAGCUGCACUCGGGUAUAUCAUGAAGUAUAUGAAGUGUAGGUUGAUGAAAAUAGGAGUGGAGGCCAUCAUGUAAAAUAAAUAGACAGUGGGCAUUCUCCCCAGACCAGGCAUUUUCAAAAUAGAUGGAUAAUGCUUCUCUACUUCUGUUGCCUUUCCAUCCAGGGUAGCAGAGAAGCUAGUAAGAGAUGACCUGUGGGCCCUGCUUGCUAAAAAUUUCCAUGAACUCAAGAAUGUUUUAAAUAAAGGAAAGAUAUUACCUUAUUCUGCACAUAAGGACUUUAAGUACAAAGAAGGAAAUCAUAGUAGCAGUUUCAACUGUCAACUUCUGCUUAGGAAAUCCUUAAUAAACCUUCAUGUCGAGAUUUGUGAAACAACUGACAAAAUCGCUGGUCUGAAGUUGCAAACAAAGUAUUAAUCAAGGCAGCCCCACUGUGGCUUAAUAAUAUCAAUGACAGACACUUCUUGGCAAUCAAGGAUCCUCUGAUGAUCAUCUAAUCAAACAGUACUGAUUCCAUCACACCAUGGCUUUGGUUGAGUUUAACAGAGAAGAGGAUUCAUCCAUAACCAAACAGGUUCAACGGAACAUUGAAAAUCAAAGGAAAGUGCAAAAGAAAGUGCUUCUAACUUUGGAUUGUGGCAUCAAGGAAAAGUAAAUAAAAUAAAUUGAAUAACUUCUUUUGCAGAGCUGAGAAGUCUCAAAGUUUCCUUCAUCUAAGAAUAUGUUAAAAUGACAUUGACAGAGUCCAGCGUAUUGGAGCCUGAAAUCUGACUUCUCCUUCAUGUGAAGGUGUGGGUAUUAAUUUGGUUAAUUUCUAAUGAUCAUCCAUAAUAACUUACAAAAGAGUUUGAAUAAUGAAACAAUGUAAAAAGAAAUUUGGUUCCAAAAGUAAGCCUUUCUAAGACAGAAAAUGUCUUAAAAACCUGCAGUAUUUAGAGGCUUAAUUAGUAUACUGGGUCAUUAUGACAUCUAGCUCGUUUCAUUACCUUCCUAAUGUAUUAUUAGUUGGCAGUUAAAUACUGUCUGCUGGGACCUAAGAGUUUUUCCUCUUGUCUUUCUGGUCAUACUUAUUGCCUAGGCCGACAGCUUACCUGUAGUGAGGAAGAAAUGGAACACCAAUUAGAAAGCUUUCAGCCCAGCACCCAUGGAAAAGCCAAAAGCUGAUAAAGGUCAGCGUGAAAUUUGAAUGACAGGGCUAAAGUCUUUUACUCAUAAUUUUGUGUUUGCAAUAGAAUUCAGAGCAAUUCACAGCCUUAAAGGCCUUAAGUGAGAACAGCAAUUAAUUGUAAUGAAUAAUCUGACAAAUCUGGUUGACAUAUGGCUGCUAAUGCCCUCCUUUCUAGUGGGAGCAGUGGAGGGAUUAGAUUAACUCAAAUGAAAUCUGGGACCGCCAUGCCAUCUGCAUGUUCAGUAGGAAACGGUACACGUUAAAUGGUGAGUGGGUAGAUAUCUGUCUUGUACUCAUCUCUCUCUGAGCCCUUGGCAGAUCUGGGAAUAGCAGUUUUAUUACUGCACCAGCUGCCUGUCAAUAGAGUAAUACAGGAACGGCAUAGAGUACAACCUAGAAAGCUAAUACACCACGAAGCUGUUAAAAAUUAACUAGAUACAAUUAACAUGGACUUCUAAAUUUCUCUGUUUAUACAAUGCAUAUUUAUAUUUUGAUUUUGGGUUUGCCUCAUUGAAUGUUC